UCACACAGGCAGGACCGUGAGACUCACACAGGCAGGACUAUGAGGCUCACACAGGGCAGGACUGUGAGACUCACACAGGGCAGGACUGUGAGACUCACACAGGGCAGGACUGUGAGGUUCACACAGGGCAGAACUGUGAGGCUCACACGGGGCAGGACUGUGAGGCUCACACAGGCAGGACCGUGAGG
Molecule: long non-coding RNA, 188 nt
Organism: Apodemus sylvaticus (European woodmouse)
Lineage: Eukaryota; Metazoa; Chordata; Mammalia; Rodentia; Muridae
Exons: 2
Source: RefSeq, a predicted model, not a curated record